GAUGAACGCUAGCUACAGGCUUAACACAUGCAAGUCGCGGGGCAGCAUGGGGGUUGCUUGCAAUCCCCGAUGGCGACCGGCGCACGGGUGAGUAACGCGUAUCCAACCUGCCCUUCACCACGGGAUAACCCGGCGAAAGUCGGACUAAUACCGUAUGUUGUCCAUUGACGGCAUCCGAUUUGGACGAAAGGGUUGGCGGUGAAGGAUGGGGAUGCGUCCGAUUAGCUGGACGGCGGGGUGACGGCCCACCGUGGCGACGAUCGGUAGGGGUUCUGAGAGGAAGGGCCCCCACACUGGAACUGAGACACGGUCCAGACUCCUACGGGAGGCAGCAGUGAGGAAUAUUGGUCAAUGGGCGUAAGCCUGAACCAGCCAAGUAGCGUGCAGGAUGACGGCCCUAUGGGUUGUAAACUGCUUUUAUGCGGGGAUAAAGUGGCCCACGUGUGGGUUUUUGCAGGUACCGCAUGAAUAAGGACCGGCUAAUUCCGUG
Molecule: ribosomal RNA, 490 nt
Filed under: uncultured bacterium
Lineage: Bacteria
Description: partial 16S ribosomal RNA
Rfam family: Bacterial small subunit ribosomal RNA
Source: RNAcentral